CGCUAGGCUUGACCGGGGGGUUGGGCGUCCCCUUGUACACCGAAACCGUCCUUAGCGGGGGUGACAGGUAGGAGCGACGUUCGGGGGAGGAGUGCGUCUUGCGUUGCUUCGUCGACGCUCUGUUCUACUGGGCCGCGGGCACUGCGACGAUCGCUCGGAGGAGCGAUCUAGCGGUUAUCCAUCACGGGCACCGGGUCAGGUCCUGACGGGAGCAGCCUUACCGUGACCCGUCGACGCUGGUGGGGCGACGGGGCUGAGGAGCGCGCAAGAUCAACGCACACCUUCUCCGGGCGGCUCGUCGUCAUCGCG
This 309-nucleotide signal recognition particle RNA is filed under the name Thermoplasmata archaeon. RNAcentral describes it as "signal recognition particle sRNA". It matches the Rfam family "Archaeal signal recognition particle RNA". Lineage: Archaea; Methanobacteriati; Thermoplasmatota; Thermoplasmata. The record is from RNAcentral.